AUAGCGUAAUUGCAGCUUAAUUUCGACUUAAGUUUAGGAAAGUUUAGUGAAGUUCACGUUACU
RNAcentral lists this transfer RNA (63 nucleotides) under Goeldia sp. DPP-2018. RNAcentral's name for it is "tRNA-Arg". Lineage: Eukaryota; Metazoa; Arthropoda; Arachnida; Araneae; Titanoecidae. The record is from RNAcentral.